CUUUGCUGGCGACCGGCGCACGGGUGAGUAACACGUAUCCAACCUGCCGAUGACUCGGGGAUAGCCUUUCGAAAGAAAGAUUAAUACCCGAUGGCAUAGUUCUUCCGCAUGGUAGAACUAUUAAAGGAUUUCGGUCAUCGAUGGGGAUGCGUUCCAUUAGGUUGUUGGCGGGGUAACGGCCCACCAAGCCUUCGAUGGAUAGGGGUUCUGAGAGGAAGGUCCCCCACAUUGGAACUGAGACACGGUCCAAACUCCUACGGGAGGCAGCAUG
This 271-nucleotide ribosomal RNA is filed under the name uncultured bacterium. RNAcentral describes it as "partial 16S ribosomal RNA". It matches the Rfam family "Bacterial small subunit ribosomal RNA", at positions 83 to 353 of the family's 1533-position model. The record is from RNAcentral.